Molecule: long non-coding RNA, 277 nt
Organism: Ornithodoros turicata
Lineage: Eukaryota; Metazoa; Arthropoda; Arachnida; Ixodida; Argasidae
Exons: 4
Source: RefSeq, a predicted model, not a curated record
UCACUGUUCCAUCAGCGACUGGGCGAACAUAGGGCACAUGGCCACUCUUAUGCUGCGUUUUUUGAAGUUUUUUUCACUGUUCCAUCAGCGACUGGGCGAACAUAGGGCACAUGGCCACUCUUAUGCUGCGUUUUUUGAAGUUUUUUCCACUGUUCCAUCAGCGACUGGGCGAACAUAGGGCACAUGGCCACUCUUAUGCUGCGUUUUUUGAAGUUUUUUCCACCUUUUCCAUCAGCGACUGGGCGAACAUAGGGCACAUGGCCACUCUUAUGCUGCG